This 1350-nucleotide ribosomal RNA is filed under the name uncultured bacterium. RNAcentral describes it as "bacterial SSU rRNA". It matches the Rfam family "Bacterial small subunit ribosomal RNA", at positions 40 to 1381 of the family's 1533-position model. The record is from RNAcentral.
CGGCAGGCCUAACACAUGCAAGUCGAGCGGUAGCACAGAGAGCUUGCUCUCGGGUGACGAGCGGCGGACGGGUGAGUAAUGUCUGGGAAACUGCCUGAUGGAGGGGGAUAACUACUGGAAACGGUAGCUAAUACCGCAUAAUGUCGCAAGACCAAAGUGGGGGACCUUCGGGCCUCAUGCCAUCAGAUGUGCCCAGAUGGGAUUAGCUAGUAGGUGGGGUAACGGCUCACCUAGGCGACGAUCCCUAGCUGGUCUGAGAGGAUGACCAGCCACACUGGAACUGAGACACGGUCCAGACUCCUACGGGAGGCAGCAGUGGGGAAUAUUGCACAAUGGGCGCAAGCCUGAUGCAGCCAUGCCGCGUGUGUGAAGAAGGCCUUCGGGUUGUAAAGCACUUUCAGCGGGGAGGAAGGCGGUGAGGUUAAUAACCUCAUCGAUUGACGUUACCCGCAGAAGAAGCACCGGCUAACUCCGUGCCAGCAGCCGCGGUAAUACGGAGGGUGCAAGCGUUAAUCGGAAUUUACUGGGGGUAAAGCGCACGCAGGCGGUCUGUCAAGUCGGAUGUGAAAUCCCCGGGCUCAACCUGGGAACUGCAUUCGAAACUGGCAGGCUAGAGUCUUGUAGAGGGGGGUAGAAUUCCAGGUGUAGCGGUGAAAUGCGUAGAGAUCUGGAGGAAUACCGGUGGCGAAGGCGGCCCCCUGGACAAAGACUGACGCUCAGGUGCGAAAGCGUGGGGAGCAAACAGGAUUAGAUACCCUGGUAGUCCACGCCGUAAACGAUGUCGAUUUGGAGGUUGUGCCCUUGAGGCGUGGCUUCCGGAGCUAACGCGUUAAAUCGACCGCCUGGGGAGUACGGCCGCAAGGUUAAAACUCAAAUGAAUUGACGGGGGCCCGCACAAGCGGUGGAGCAUGUGGUUUAAUUCGAUGCAACGCGAAGAACCUUACCUGGUCUUGACAUCCACAGAACUUAGCAGAGAUGCUUUGGUGCCUUCGGGAACUGUGAGACAGGUGCUGCAUGGCUGUCGUCAGCUCGUGUUGUGAAAUGUUGGGUUAAGUCCCGCAACGAGCGCAACCCUUAUCCUUUGUUGCCAGCGGUUAGGCCGGGAACUCAAAGGAGACUGCCAGUGAUAAACUGGAGGAAGGUGGGGAUGACGUCAAGUCAUCAUGGCCCUUACGACCAGGGCUACACACGUGCUACAAUGGCAUAUACAAAGAGAAGCGACCUCGCGAGAGCAAGCGGACCUCAUAAAGUAUGUCGUAGUCCGGAUUGGAGUCUGCAACUCGACUCCAUGAAGUCGGAAUCGCUAGUAAUCGUAGAUCAGAAUGCUACGGUGAAUACGUUCCCGGGCCU